Molecule: long non-coding RNA, 2642 nt
Filed under: Homo sapiens (human)
Lineage: Eukaryota; Metazoa; Chordata; Mammalia; Primates; Hominidae
Description: HSALNT0243457
Source: RNAcentral
CUGGGCCGGGCUGAGCUGGCCCGCUCCGGCGCCGGGGACCACGCGCGACUGGUUAGAUCUUGUCGUGAUCUCUGGAAAACUGUGACUAUCUCACAUGUCCUGCCCAGCUCGGAUCCCCUGCGCUAACGAGCCAGGCCCCCCUUGAUUGCUGAUUUUACGCUUUUUGGACCAAUUGUGGGUCUCCGGGGGCGGGGUUUUGACAGCUCAGGCCAAGCUCCGGCCGGGAGGGGGGGCCUGGGAGAAGGUGUCGGAAGCCUCAGCAGUAAGAAAACAUGUCAACAGAAUAAAAUAUUAACCAAUGACGGGCCGCCGGGCCCCGAGACCCCUCCUCCUGCCCCGGCCCCCACCGCCCGCCCGCGCCUGCGGCUGCCUGCGCCGGACUGGAGAGCGCGGAGGGCCGACCUGACCCGCCGAAAGGGCCUGAGGCGAGGGGAGCCCGGGUCCCGGGGCCUUGGGGAAGGACCCGCAGCCGCACGCCGGCCCCAAGUGCAAAGCAUUGACACGACCCCGAGCGGAGAGGGGGCGCCCUCCUUCUCCCGCGCCCAGAGGCCCGGCCGCUCUGGCCCGAGCCCCAGCCUGGCCUCCGACCCAGCUCCGGGUCGUGGCGCCGCCUGGGGGUCCCUGCGCCCCGGAAAGAGACAGCAGGCACUGGAAAGCGAGGCCGGUGGGCGGGCGAGUCGGGAGGCUCGGGCGGCCGAGGUCCGGGAGCGGAUCCCAGGUGGCGGGAGCUGGUGAGUGGAGCCAUGGCCGAGCCCUGCUGGGGCCGGCGCGGGCGGGAGCGGGACGCGGCCUUGCGCUGGGGAAACGCGGGGACCCCCUACCCGCGCCCGCCUUCACCGGAAGACUCGGAAGGAACCUGGAGUUCUCCGCAGGCCCGGGCCCCGCCCUGAGCUUUCCAGCGGCCGGGAGGAGCGGAUCCUCGGGGCCAGGAAGGUGAGCGCACCUUUCGCUGAGCACAGGGCGGCACCGCGCGGGCGGACCCCGGAUUCUCCACCCGCGACCCAACGAAUUUUCGCCCUAUCCGGUACCGGAGACGAAAGUCUCCUUCUUCCGAAAUACCGGCUUCCUCUCUUCGCCCUGCCAACCACUUUUUUAGUUUCUUCUCAUCUCUCGGAAGCGCACGUCUCCUAAGUUAAGGAGUGCUGAGUAACGCGUGAGGGAGUUGGGGUGUCUGCGAGCACCUGUGAUUGAAGCCCCCUCUUCUGUGAUCAGUCUUCGUUUUCUGUCUUCCGGCAGCCUCAGUUUCCCCCCCAUGAAGUGAUGGUGUGUGUGUGUGUGUGUGUGUGUGUGUGUGUGUGUGUGUGUGUGUCGGGCCCCGUGUGGUGCCCUCUGUGCGCAGCGAGAGCUAUAACUCAAGGUGUGCACGGGGAGAGUGAAGCGACCACGCACCUGCUUCCAAUCGGGCUCGGGCGCGAACACUCAGGCUGAUUCCUGAAGGUCGUUUUCUGAAGGAAAAGACAGAGCAUGCACUAGCCACGGGUGACAUUCCCACCCGUACAACCGCGUGGUGGGCGCGUACAUCCAACAUUGACCCAUGCAGGCGCCCGCCCACUGCGCACACCGGUCGCAGGGCACUUCGUUGUUGAACGUUGGGAGCAGCGUUUGAAGGCCGGAUCUCUCCUGGCAGUGCGGAUUCGGGACCGGCGGAAGCAGUAUGGCCUCUGCGACCGUUAUCCCUACUUUUCGGGGCCGACCCCAGGGCCCUCACAACUCCUCAUCACCGCAUAUGUGAGCGCCGCCCCCACAGGGUUUUCUCCACGACCUCGUUCUUGGCUAGGUCGCACCUCUCUUAGUACCUCCUCUCUGGCCAGAACGAAUCUUUGACUCCGAGCUGCGCAGUCUACGCAGACGGGGCAGGAUCCACUGCAGUUUUCCACAGGCAAAUACCUGCUGGCUCCACCUUAGGCGAGAUGUGGCCUCUCGGGGAGGGACCCGUUGUGGACACGUUUGCGCAGCCGGUGCCCUGGCAGGAGGGACUGGCUUAUGCCACCCUGUGCAGGAUCGUCUUCUCAGCUUACAGAGCCUAGUGUGAUUCAACAACCCUCCAUCUCUGCCCCCAACAUGCCCAACUGAUCUGGUGGAGGGAACUGAAGAUGAAGGCCUCUCAGGCACCAUGGAUGGGAUGGGUGUGUGUGAAGGGGGCAGGGUCCCCAGGAGCUGCCCCAGGUCUGGCUGGACAGUUGCACGGGAAGUCCUGUUUGUGAACUCAACGUUUCCACGGCUUUUCCAUUAAACUUUACCCCAAAUCACACCUGGCUCUGUGGGUUUCCUUCCAUUCUCCAAGGCCUCCCUGGGGUCUCUGGGAAGUGUGGGCCAGGGAAGGGGGCAAAGGACUAGCAUUCGUCUCCUUCCUGCUCAAUGCACCAUUUUUUCUCCCUGUUCCUGUCUCUGUUGCCACUUACUUUAGGUCCGGAAGUGGUGGUGGUGGGGCGGGGGGACAAAAUCAGGAACGUGUCAUCUGAGGGUUCCGGCCAGGUUUCAUGAGAUACCCACCUUCACCUGACCACCCUUCCAUCUUCUGAGUUAAAAAGAGGCAAUUACAACAAGGUGCCCCCCAGAUGAGGCUUUGCCAGACUCUCCCCUUGACAGCAACCCACCAGCACAUGGCAAGCCCUGAUCCCCAGGGAGGAGGGUCCAACCCU